RNAcentral lists this ribosomal RNA (616 nucleotides) under Malbranchea flocciformis. Its description in RNAcentral is "LSU rRNA". It matches the Rfam family "Eukaryotic large subunit ribosomal RNA", at positions 38 to 667 of the family's 3401-position model. The record is from RNAcentral. Lineage: Eukaryota; Fungi; Ascomycota; Eurotiomycetes; Onygenales; Malbrancheaceae.
GCAUAUCAAUAAGCGGAGGAAAAGAAACCAACAGGGAUUGCCCCAGUAACGGCGAGUGAAGCGGCAAAAGCUCAAAUUUGAAAUCUGGCUCCUUCCGGGGUCCGAGUUGUAAUUUGAAGAGGAUGCUUUGGGUGCGUCCGCGGCGUAAGUCCCCUGGAACGGGGCGUCAUAGAGGGUGAGAAUCCCGUCUUGAGUCGCUGGGCGCGCCCGUCUAAAGCUCCUUCGACGAGUCGAGUUGUUUGGGAAUGCAGCUCUAAGUGGGUGGUAAAUUUCAUCUAAAGCUAAAUAUUGGCCGGAGACCGAUAGCGAACAAGUAGAGUGAUCGAAAGGUUAAAAGCACCUUGAAAAGGGAGUUAAAUAGCACGUGAAAUUGUUGAAAGGGAAGCGCUUGCAGCCAGACUCGAGCGCGGGGGUUCAGCGGGCAUGUCAUGCCCGUGCACUCCCCCGCGCCCGGGCCAGCAUCAGCUUUGGCGGCCGGUCAAAGGCCCCCGGAAUGUGUCGUCCUCCGGGACGUCUUAUAGCCGGGGGUGCAAUGCGGCCAGCCGGGGCUGAGGAACGCGCUUCGGCACGGAUGCUGGCGUAAUGGCUGUAAGCGGCCCGUCUUGAAACACGGACC